RNAcentral lists this ribosomal RNA (504 nucleotides) under uncultured organism. RNAcentral's name for it is "SSU rRNA". It matches the Rfam family "Bacterial small subunit ribosomal RNA", at positions 10 to 509 of the family's 1533-position model. The record is from RNAcentral.
AGUUUGAUCCUGGCUCAGGACGAACGCUGGCGGCGUGCCUAACACAUGCAAGUCGAGCGGGGAUAGAUAGGAUGAGAGCUACGGCAGGAUUCGGAUUUAUUCUAGCGGCGGACGGGUGAGUAACGCGUGAACGAUCUGUCCCAGACAGGGGGAUAACACUUGGAAACAGGUGCUAAUACCGCAUAAGACCACGGAUCUGCAUGGAUCUGAGGUAAAAGGAGCGAUCCGGUUUGGGGUGAGUUCGCGUCUGAUUAGCUAGUUGGUGAGGUAACGGCCCACCAAGGCGACGAUCAGUAGCCGACCUGAGAGGGUGAUCGGCCACAUUGGAACUGAGACACGGUCCAAACUCCUACGGGAGGCAGCAGUGGGGAAUAUUGGGCAAUGGGCGAAAGCCUGACCCAGCAACGCCGCGUGAAGGAAGAAGGUUUUCGGAUCGUAAACUUCUGUCCUUGGUGAAGAGAGAAAGACGGUAGCCAAGGAGGAAGCCCCGGCUAACUACGUGCC